AACGAACGCUGGCGGCAUGCCUAACACAUGCAAGUCGAACGAGACCUUCGGGUCUAGUGGCGCACGGGUGCGUAACGCGUGGGAACCUGCCCUUAGGUUCGGAAUAACUCCCCGAAAGGGGUGCUAAUACCGGAUAAUGUCUUCGGACCAAAGAUUCAUCGCCUUUGGAUGGGCCCGCGUUGGAUUAGCUAGUUGGUAGGGUAAAAGCCUACCAAGGCGACGAUCCGUAGCUGGUCUGAGAGGAUGAUCAGCCACACUGGGACUGAGACACGGCCCAGACUCCUACGGGAGGCAGCAGUGGGGAAUAUUGGACAAUGGGCGAAAGCCUGAUCCAGCAAUGCCGCGUGAGUGAUGAAGGCCUUAGGGUUGUAAAGCUCUUUUACCCGGGAUGAUAAUGACAGUACCGGGAGAAUAAGCUCCGGCUAACUCCGUG
RNAcentral lists this ribosomal RNA (433 nucleotides) under uncultured bacterium. Its description in RNAcentral is "partial 16S ribosomal RNA". It matches the Rfam family "Bacterial small subunit ribosomal RNA", at positions 29 to 507 of the family's 1533-position model. The record is from RNAcentral.